GGUUUGUGGCUCAGAGGUUAAAGCAUCUGCCUGCAAUGCAGGAGACCUGGGUUCGAUCCCUGAAUCA
RNAcentral lists this transfer RNA (67 nucleotides) under Bos grunniens (domestic yak). It matches the Rfam family "tRNA". Rfam says of the family: Transfer RNA (tRNA) molecules are approximately 80 nucleotides in length. Their secondary structure includes four short double-helical elements and three loops (D, anti-codon, and T loops). Lineage: Eukaryota; Metazoa; Chordata; Mammalia; Artiodactyla; Bovidae. RNAcentral also lists the same sequence under 3 other names. The record is from Rfam by way of RNAcentral.